GAUGAAGAACGUAGCGAAAUGCGAUAAGUAGUGUGAAUUGCAGAAUUCAGUGAAUCAUCGAAUCUUUGAACGCAUAUUGCGCUCUUUGGUAUUCCGAAGAGCAUGCUUGUUUGAGUAUCAGUAAACACCUCAAAGACUUCAAUUUGUUAUGAAUGGCUUUGGACUUGAGCAAUCCCAACACCAGUCUUUACGAUCGGUGGAGGGUUGCUUGAAAUGCAGGUGCAGCUGGACAUUCUCCUGAGCUAAAAGCAUAUUUAUUUAGUCCCGUCAAACGGAUUAUUACUUUUGCUGCAGCUAACAUAAAGGGAGUUUGACCGUAUUGGCUGACUGAUGCAGGAUUUCACAAGGGUCGGCAACGAUUCUUGUAAAACUCGAUCUCAAAUCAAGUAAGACUACCCGCUGAACUUAAGCAUAUCAAUAAGCGGAGGA
This 429-nucleotide unclassified non-coding RNA is filed under the name soil metagenome. Its description in RNAcentral is "partial contains 5.8S ribosomal RNA, internal transcribed spacer 2, and large subunit ribosomal RNA". The stretch from base 1 to 120 matches the Rfam family "5.8S ribosomal RNA", at positions 35 to 154 of the family's 154-position model. The record is from RNAcentral.